RNAcentral lists this ribosomal RNA (433 nucleotides) under Cryptosporidium sp. RY-2015. RNAcentral's name for it is "partial 18S ribosomal RNA". It matches the Rfam family "Eukaryotic small subunit ribosomal RNA", at positions 378 to 819 of the family's 1831-position model. Lineage: Eukaryota; Apicomplexa; Conoidasida; Eucoccidiorida; Cryptosporidiidae. The record is from RNAcentral.
CGAUUCCGGAGAGGGAGCCUGAGAAACGGCUACCACAUCUAAGGAAGGCAGCAGGCGCGCAAAUUACCCAAUCCUAAUACAGGGAGGUAGUGACAAGAAAUAACAAUACAGGACUUUACGGUUUUGUAAUUGGAAUGAGUUAAGUAUAAACCCCUUUACAAGUAUCAAUUGGAGGGCAAGUCUGGUGCCAGCAGCCGCGGUAAUUCCAGCUCCAAUAGCGUAUAUUAAAGUUGUUGCAGUUAAAAAGCUUGUAGUUGGAUUUCUGUUAAUACCUUAUAUAUAAUAUUUUUUUUUAAAUAUUAUUAUGUAAGAUUAACAUAAUUCAUAUUUUUUAAGACUGAAUUUUUAGUUUUGAUAAUAUGAAAUUUUACUUUGAGAAAAUUAGAGUGCUUAAAGCAGGCUUUUGCCUUGAAUACUCCAGCAUGGAAUAAUA